RNAcentral lists this non-coding RNA (173 nucleotides) under Aneurinibacillus thermoaerophilus. Lineage: Bacteria; Bacillati; Bacillota; Bacilli; Caryophanales; Paenibacillaceae. The record is from RNAcentral.
UCGACCGUGAGGUUAAAUCUGAAGGAAGCCGGCGGCAACUCUUCGGCCUGAGGAACACGAAUCUCAUAUGAGGCCAGCGUUCGUUGGAUGAGCCUGCAUGACAAGGCAAAGUUCGUAUUGCUAAAGGCGAGCGAAGGUAAAUGAGAUAGCCGCAAAAUAAGAAGCGAUUCGAC